GUCCAAGCAAGCAAGCCUGAAGUUCAGGUGACAGAAAUCCCUCUAUAUCUAGUUUACACAAAAAGGAGUAUUUAGUGACUGCAUUCUCAAGCCACAACGGGGAUAGAACUGGCCUGAGGACGACCAGAACCAGAGACUCAGUACCACGGGGACUUGCCACCUCUUCUUCUUCAGGGGAAGCUAUGAACCAGCUCAACCAUUUCUAGGAUGCUUAACUUCCCCAAGGUCUUUCGAAUGUCCUUUUGAUGUGUGCUGUCAGCUUCAACCAUCACCACCACCAAAAAAAAAGACUUUUCUAUUAGGAAGGACUAAUACAAGGCUCUCUUUGGCUUUAUGCUUCCAUGUGUAAGAACCUUCCCACAAAAGAAUCGCUGAAGCUUUUGAACUACAUCCCGUUAUGACAAAGGAAACACCAAGAAUAUGAUAGCCAAAAGGAGAGAUUGUAGUGAUUGCCAAGGCCCUGGACACAAGACAAACCCUGGAGCUACACUGAUUCGGGUCAUAACCCCCCUUCCUGCAUCACAAGGACUGAGAAAGAUGACUAAAGAUACUGUUGGGGUGGAGCGUGGGGAGGGGAAGGAGACUGGCUGCUGGCAGUACAAACAGGGAUGUCCUCCACUAAGAGGACUGGCGGUCAGUUCCUCUGGAAUAGCAGUGCUCAGGCCGUGCACCACCAAACACUAUGCAGAGUGCCUCAGACAGGUGUGGCUCAGGACCAGGAGCCAUCUCUCUGAAAUGUGAUCAUCAGGGAAGAUCGUGCCCUACCUCCCAGUUGGCUAGGAGAGGGCGGGCCUAACUUCAACUAUCAUCUGACUUCAAAUUGCAAAACCCACCGAAUGUCACAGGGGCAUCCACUCAGCUGCAAGAGAGCAAGAUUUCCUUCUGUCUUUGCCAGAUGGCCCGAGAUGCAUAUCACAUUCUGGCUUAAUGCUUAUUCAAUAAAAAGAUGAUUUUCCUUCUCUUCUUUGUUGAGAGGUUUUCUGAGUUAUGAACACAUUUCAUUUUUAAUUUAUAGUUCCCCAACAAAUGCCAGUUUAUUAGAAUAGUUAAAAAGCAAAAUCUGUCAGAGAUGUGGACACGCAUUUCUUGCCUUUUCCUAAUAAGGCCAUUUGACACCAAUUAAUUCUUAUUUUCUUUUUAUUUCGAUUCAGUUCAAGAUUAAGUUCUCAAAUAAGUGGUAUGUGAUCUUAAAAUCACCUUUGUUUCAAAGCACGUUUCACUAUUUCAUAUUCCUUUCCAAGAAAUCAUUCUAUCCAUUUCUUUUUUAAAUUUUUCCUUUCCUUUGUUAAUAGGAGCUUUGCUUGACAAAAAUAGCUCCCAGAGGGCCCCUGGGUGGC
Molecule: long non-coding RNA, 1337 nt
Organism: Zalophus californianus (California sea lion)
Lineage: Eukaryota; Metazoa; Chordata; Mammalia; Carnivora; Otariidae
Exons: 6
Source: RefSeq, a predicted model, not a curated record